UACGUAGGGGGCAAGCGUUGUCCGGAAUCAUUGGGCGUAAAGAGCGUGUAGGCGGCCCGAUAAGUCCGCUGUGAAAGUCCAGGGCUCAACCCUGGAAUGCCGGUGGAUACUGUCGGGCUCGAAUCCGGAAGAGGUGAGUGGAAUUCCUGGUGUAGCGGUGAAAUGCGCAGAUAUCAGGAGGAACACCAAUGGCGAAGGCAGCUCACUGGGACGGUAUUGACGCUGAGACGCGAAAGCGUGGGGAGCAAACAGGAUUAGAUACCCCCGUAGUCC
This 273-nucleotide ribosomal RNA is filed under the name uncultured bacterium. RNAcentral's name for it is "partial 16S ribosomal RNA". It matches the Rfam family "Bacterial small subunit ribosomal RNA", at positions 524 to 796 of the family's 1533-position model. The record is from RNAcentral.